CUUGCUUCUCUUGAGAGCGGCGGACGGGUGAGUAAUGCCUAGGAAUCUGCCUGGUAGUGGGGGAUAACGUCCGGAAACGGACGCUAAUACCGCAUACGUCCUACGGGAGAAAGCAGGGGACCUUCGGGCCUUGCGCUAUCAGAUGAGCCUAGGUCGGAUUAGCUAGUUGGUGGGGUAAUGGCUCACCAAGGCGACGAUCCGUAACUGGUCUGAGAGGAUGAUCAGUCACACUGGAACUGAGACACGGUCCAGACUCCUACGGGAGGCAGCAGUGGGGAAUAUUGGACAAUGGGCGAAAGCCUGAUCCAGCCAUGCCGCGUGUGUGAAGAAGGUCUUCGGAUUGUGAAGCACUUUAAGUUGGGAGGAAGGGCAGUAAAUUAAUACUUUGCUGUUUUGACGUUACCGACAGAAUAAGCACCGGCUAACUCUGUGCCAGCAGCCGCGGUAAUACAGAGGGUGCAAGCGUUAAUCGGAAUUACUGGGCGUAAAGCGCGCGUAGUGGUUCGUUAAGUUGGAUGUGAAAUCCCCGGGCUCAACCUGGGAACUGCAUUCAAAACUGACGAGCUAGAGUAUGGUA
Molecule: ribosomal RNA, 577 nt
Filed under: uncultured bacterium
Lineage: Bacteria
Description: bacterial SSU rRNA
Rfam family: Bacterial small subunit ribosomal RNA
Source: RNAcentral